This 833-nucleotide ribosomal RNA is filed under the name Salmonella enterica. Its description in RNAcentral is "partial 23S ribosomal RNA". It matches the Rfam family "Bacterial large subunit ribosomal RNA", at positions 668 to 1503 of the family's 2925-position model. Lineage: Bacteria; Pseudomonadati; Pseudomonadota; Gammaproteobacteria; Enterobacterales; Enterobacteriaceae. The record is from RNAcentral. RNAcentral also lists the same sequence under 1 other name.
GAGGGAAACCGAGUCUUAACCGGGCGUUAAGUUGCAGGGUAUAGACCCGAAACCCGGUGAUCUAGCCAUGGGCAGGUUGAAGGUUGGGUAACACUAACUGGAGGACCGAACCGACUAAUGUUGAAAAAUUAGCGGAUGACCUGUGGCUGGGGGUGAAAGGCCAAUCAAACCGGGAGAUAGCUGGUUCUCCCCGAAAGCUAUUUAGGUAGCGCCUCGUGAAUUCAUCUCCGGGGGUAGAGCACUGUUUCGGCUAGGGGGCCAUCCCGGCUUACCAACCCGAUGCAAACUGCGAAUACCGGAGAAUGUUAUCACGGGAGACACACGGCGGGUGCUAACGUCCGUCGUGAAGAGGGAAACAACCCAGACCGCCAGCUAAGGUCCCAAAGUCAUGGUUAAGUGGGAAACGAUGUGGGAAGGCCCAGACAGCCAGGAUGUUGGCUUAGAAGCAGCCAUCAUUUAAAGAAAGCGUAAUAGCUCACUGGUCGAGUCGGCCUGCGCGGAAGAUGUAACGGGGCUAAACCAUGCACCGAAGCUGCGGCAGCGACGCUGAUGCGUUGUUGGGUAGGGGAGCGUUCUGUAAGCCUGCGAAGGUGGCCUGUGAGGGUUGCUGGAGGUAUCAGAAGUGCGAAUGCUGACAUAAGUAACGAUAAAGCGGGUGAAAAGCCCGCUCGCCGGAAGACCAAGGGUUCCUGUCCAACGUUAAUCGGGGCAGGGUGAGUCGACCCCUAAGGCGAGGCCGAAAGGCGUAGUCGAUGGGAAACGGGUUAAUAUUCCCGUACUUGGUGUUACUGCGAAGGGGGGACGGAGAAGGCUAUGUUGGCCGGGCGACGGUU